UCUUAACGUCCAAACCGUUCC
RNAcentral lists this microRNA (21 nucleotides) under Sus scrofa (pig). Its description in RNAcentral is "ssc-miR-7141-3p". Lineage: Eukaryota; Metazoa; Chordata; Mammalia; Artiodactyla; Suidae. The record is from miRBase by way of RNAcentral.